RNAcentral lists this ribosomal RNA (238 nucleotides) under uncultured Glomeromycotina. RNAcentral's name for it is "partial 18S ribosomal RNA". The stretch from base 46 to 238 matches the Rfam family "Eukaryotic small subunit ribosomal RNA", at positions 693 to 887 of the family's 1831-position model. Lineage: Eukaryota; Fungi; Glomeromycota. The record is from RNAcentral.
GGAUCAAUUUGUCGGUCGUGCCUCGGUACGUACUGGUAUUAUUGGUUUCUACCUUCUGAAGAACCUUGAUGUCAUUAAUUUGGUGUCAUGGGAGAUCAGAACCGUUACUUUGAAAAAAUUAGAGUGUUUAAAGCAGGCUCGCGCUUGAAUACAUUAGCAUGGAAUAAUGAAAUAGGACGUUUGAUUCUAUUUUGUUGGUUUCUAGGAUCGACGUAAUGAUUAAUAGGGAUAGUUGGGC